GAUUCUAAUCACCACCCAGGCCAGCAUAGCAACACAUGCUGGACACACAUCCUAAUCCUGGGUGUCAGCAAUCACUCACAGUUCCUAUCAUCCACGUUAACCAAAAAGGACAAGCAACCCACUCUGCAGAAUUACGUUUCCAAAGUGACCCAGAAAAGGGCCUGGGAACUUCCAGAUACCUGAAUACAUGGAGGUUCCUAGAAGGUGGUGAACCUGAAGAGGAGAUGGAAGCUUCGCAACCCUUCUCCCAUACCUAUGCAUCUCUUCUUCAUCUGCAUCCUUUGUAAUAUCCUUUAUAAUAAGCUGGUAAACGUGUUUCAGAGAUCUGUGAGACAGGGUCAAGGUCACGACACUCUCUCCACCAAUUUCUACAUGCUGGGGUUAAAAACAUCUGACACGGCUCCAAUCACUUUCCCACACUUCUGCAACAAUUCUCACCUGCUGC
Long non-coding RNA from Peromyscus maniculatus bairdii (prairie deer mouse), 445 nucleotides. RefSeq lists it as uncharacterized. The record is from RefSeq and is a predicted model, not a curated record. Lineage: Eukaryota; Metazoa; Chordata; Mammalia; Rodentia; Cricetidae.